Molecule: ribosomal RNA, 380 nt
Filed under: uncultured eukaryote
Lineage: Eukaryota
Description: partial 18S ribosomal RNA
Rfam family: Eukaryotic small subunit ribosomal RNA
Source: RNAcentral
CAAUAGCGUAUAUUAAAGUUGUUGCGGUUAAAACGCUCGUAGUUGGAUAUCUGUGAGCGGGUUCCGGUCCUGCCCAGUGCAGAUUACACGGAACUCUGCUCGCAUUUGUUCAGGGAGGGUGGAUGCACUUCACUGUGUGACCACAUGAUCUGAAUUUUUACUUUGAGGAAAUUAGAGUGUUUCACGCAGGCACCUGCCGUGAAUAUAUUAGCAUGGAAUAAUGAAAUACGACGAUUAUUCGAUUUUGUUGGUUUAUUGAAAGAUCGUAAUGAUAAAUAGGGACAGUCAGGGGCAUUCGUAUUUAACUGUCAGAGGUGGAAUUCUUGGAUUUGUUAAAGACGCACUACUGCGAAAGCAUUUGCCAGGGAUGUUUUCAUUGA